AUUGAACGCUGGCGGCAGGCCUAACACAUGCAAGUCGAGCGGAUGAAGGGAGCUUGCUCCUGGAUUCAGCGGCGGACGGGUGAGUAAUGCCUAGGAAUCUGCCUGGUAGUGGGGGAUAACGUCCGGAAACGGGCGCUAAUACCGCAUACGUCCUGAGGGAGAAAGUGGGGGAUCUUCGGACCUCACGCUAUCAGAUGAGCCUAGGUCGGAUUAGCUAGUUGGUGGGGUAAAGGCCUACCAAGGCGCCGAUCCGUAACUGGUCUGAGAGGAUGAUCAGUCACACUGGAACUGAGACACGGUCCAGAGUCCUACGGGAGGCAGCAGUGGGGAAUAUUGGACAAUGCGCGAAAGCCUGAUCCAGGCAUGCCGCGUGUGUGGAGAAGGUCUUCGGAUUGUAAAGCACUUUAAGUUGGGAGGGAGGGCAGUAAGUUAAUACCUUGCUGUUUUGACGUUACCAACAGAAUAAGCACCGGCUAACUUCGUG
Molecule: ribosomal RNA, 484 nt
Filed under: uncultured bacterium
Lineage: Bacteria
Description: partial 16S ribosomal RNA
Rfam family: Bacterial small subunit ribosomal RNA
Source: RNAcentral